This 485-nucleotide non-coding RNA is filed under the name Pongo abelii (Sumatran orangutan). The record is from RNAcentral. Lineage: Eukaryota; Metazoa; Chordata; Mammalia; Primates; Hominidae.
CCAAUGUUGGAGGAUACAUGUGACGACAUGAAAUGUUCCUAUUUUCCAAAGUUUUCAUCUACCAAGUCGUUCAUGUACGGUUUAGCACUGUUAAUUUAAGUUCACUCCUCAAAGUAAUAGAUUCUAUGACAGAAGAUUCUUGGUCCUAAAUUUCUGAUUCAAAAAUGGGAAAAAUUUCCAAGAUAUAAAAGAUAAAGAUAUUCACCAGUAUUCCAGUUAAAUGUAUAACAUAAUAGAACAAUAUGAGUAAUCAUUGAGUCGCCUUUUCCAGAUGUGUCAGAGAAAACCUCCUCUGACUAUAAUGCCCAUGGAAAAUCACCUUAAUUCCAGAAAGUGGGGGCUGACGGGACACACUGUUGAGAGGAUCCAACAUUCUGCUGCUGCCAGGUGUUGAGGAAAUGCACACACCCUCAUGAGAGAGACAUAAACCGUCACAGAGCCUCAGAAGUGGAUGAAACUUCUUGGCCUGGAGGAUUAAAAAAAAA